GAUGAAGAACGUAGCGAAAUGCGAUAAGUAAUGUGAAUUGCAGAAUUCAGUGAAUCAUCGAAUCUUUGAACGCACAUUGCGCCCGCCAGUAUUCUGGCGGGCAUGCCUGUUCGAGCGUCAUUUCAACCAUCAAGCCCCCGGCUUGUGUUGGGGACCUGUGGCUGCCGCAGGCCCUGAAAACCAGUGGCGGGCUCGCUAGUCACUCCGAGCGUAGUAAUACAUCUCGCUCAGGGCGUGCUGCGGGUUCCGGCCGUUAAAAAGCCUUAUUUACCCAAGGUUGACCUCGGAUCAGGUAGGAAGACCCGCUGAACUUAAGCAUAUCAAUAAGCGGAGGA
This 335-nucleotide unclassified non-coding RNA is filed under the name soil metagenome. RNAcentral describes it as "partial contains 5.8S ribosomal RNA, internal transcribed spacer 2, and large subunit ribosomal RNA". The stretch from base 1 to 120 matches the Rfam family "5.8S ribosomal RNA", at positions 35 to 154 of the family's 154-position model. The record is from RNAcentral.